CCUACGGGAGGCAGCAGUAGGGAAUUUUCGGCAAUGGGGGGAACCCUGACCGAGCAACGCCGCGUGAACGAAGAAGUUAUUCGUAAUGUAAAGUUCUUUUAACAGGGAAGAAAGAGAAAUUUGACGGUACCUGAAGAAUAAGCUCCGGCUAACUACGUGCCAGCAGCCGCGGUAAUACGUAGGGAGCGAGCGUUAUCCGGAAUUAUUGGGCGAAAAGGGUGCGUAGAUGGCAUAGUAAGUCUUUUGUAAAAAUGCUGGGCUCAACCCAGUAGGGAAAAAGAUACUGCAAAGCUAGAGUAUGACAGAGGCAAGUGGAACUACAUGGGUAGCGGUAAAAUGCGUAAAUAUAUGUAAGAACACCAGUGGCGAAGGCGGCUUGCUGGGUCGAUACUGACAUUGAGGCACGAAAGCGUGGGGAGCAAACAGGAUUAGAUACCCCAGUAGUC
This 446-nucleotide ribosomal RNA is filed under the name uncultured bacterium. RNAcentral describes it as "partial 16S ribosomal RNA". It matches the Rfam family "Bacterial small subunit ribosomal RNA", at positions 338 to 795 of the family's 1533-position model. The record is from RNAcentral.